Molecule: ribosomal RNA, 451 nt
Filed under: uncultured bacterium
Lineage: Bacteria
Description: partial 16S ribosomal RNA
Rfam family: Bacterial small subunit ribosomal RNA
Source: RNAcentral
AGCGGACGCUGGCGGCAGGCUUAACACAUGCAAGUCGAGCGGGCAUAGCAAUAUGUCAGCGGCAGACGGGUGAGUAACGCGUGGGAACGUACCUUUUGGUUCGGAACAACUGAGGGAAACUUCAGCUAAUACCGGAUAAGCCCUUACGGGGAAAGAUUUAUCGCCGAAAGAUCGGCCCGCGUCUGAUUAGCUAGUUGGUGAGGUAAUGGCUCACCAAGGCGACGAUCAGUAGCUGGUCUGAGAGGAUGAUCAGCCACAUUGGGACUGAGACACGGCCCAAACUCCUACGGGGGGCAGCAGUGGGGAAUAUUGGACAAUGGGCGCAAGCCUGAUCCAGCCAUGCCGCGUGAGUGAUGAAGGCCCUAGGGUUGUAAAGCUCUUUUGUGCGGGAAGAUAAUGACGGUACCGCAAGAAUAAGCCCCGGCUAACUUCGUGCCAGCCGCCGCAGUAA